RNAcentral lists this ribosomal RNA (467 nucleotides) under uncultured bacterium. RNAcentral describes it as "partial 16S ribosomal RNA". It matches the Rfam family "Bacterial small subunit ribosomal RNA", at positions 28 to 506 of the family's 1533-position model. The record is from RNAcentral.
GACGAACGCUGGCGGCGUGCUUAACACAUGCAAGUCGAACGGUGAUGCUCCAGCUUGCUGGAGUGGAUCAGUGGCGAACGGGUGAGUAACACGUGAGCAACCUGCCCCAGACUCUGGAAUAAGCGCUGGAAACGGCGUCUAAUACUGGAUACGAAACUGGCCCGCAUGGGCAUGGUUUGGAAAGUUUUUCGGUUUGGGAUGGGCUCGCGGCCUAUCAGCUUGUUGGUGAGGUAAUGGCUCACCAAGGCGACGACGGGUAGCCGGCCUGAGAGGGCGACCGGCCACACUGGGACUGAGACACGGCCCAGACUCCUACGGGAGGCAACAGUGGGGAAGAUUGCAGAAUGGGCGAAAGCCUGAUGCAGCGACGCCGGGUGAGGGAUGACGGCUUUCGGGUUGUAAACCUCUUUCAGCAGGGAAGAAGCGAAAGUGAGGGUACCUGAAGAAGAAGCACCGGUAACUUAGGU